GCUCAUUUUGGUAGCACAUAUACUAAAAUUGGAAUAAUACAGAGAGGAUUAGCAUAGAACCCUGCAAAAGGAUGACAUGCAAAUCUGUGAAGCAUUCCAUAUUUCA
Pteronotus mesoamericanus is the source of this 106-nucleotide small nuclear RNA. Lineage: Eukaryota; Metazoa; Chordata; Mammalia; Chiroptera; Mormoopidae. The record is from RefSeq and is a predicted model, not a curated record.